This 460-nucleotide ribosomal RNA is filed under the name uncultured bacterium. RNAcentral's name for it is "partial 16S ribosomal RNA". It matches the Rfam family "Bacterial small subunit ribosomal RNA", at positions 338 to 795 of the family's 1533-position model. The record is from RNAcentral.
CCUACGGGUGGCAGCAGUGAGGAAUAUUGGUCAAUGGGAGGAAUCCUGAACCAGCCAUGCCGCGUGCAGGACGACGGCUCUACGAGUUGUAAACUGCUUUUGUACCGGGGUAAAAUGCUUUACGAGUAGGGUUUUGAAAGUACGGUACGAAUAAGGAUCGGCUAACUCCGUGCCAGCAGCCGCGGUAAUACGGAGGAUCCGAGCGUUAUCCGGAUUUAUUGGGUUUAAAGGGUGCGUAGGUUGUUUUAUAAGUUAGCGGUGAAAUACCGAUGCUCAACAUCGGGGCUGCCGCUGAUACUGUAGUACUAGAGAGCGGAUGCAGCAGGCGGAAUGUGUAGUGUAGCGGUGAAAUGCUUAGAUAUUACGCAGAACACCGAUUGCGAAGGCAGCUUGCUGGACCGGAUCUGACGCUGAUGCACGAAAGCGUGGGGAUCGAACAGGAUUAGAUACCCUAGUAGUC